Molecule: long non-coding RNA, 1036 nt
Filed under: Sus scrofa (pig)
Lineage: Eukaryota; Metazoa; Chordata; Mammalia; Artiodactyla; Suidae
Description: lncRNA (ENSSSCG00060019850.1)
Source: RNAcentral
GGAAGCAGGGGACCACAGGGUGGCUCCCUCAGCCCCCACCCCGCCACCUGCCUCGGGGCAAGAACGGGCGCCGGAGGGUACCAGCCCAGAAGGCUGGUGUUGGGACCCCGAGGCUCCCUGCCCUUGAGCCCCCAAAUCCGUCUUCUCCCUGCAUCAGCCUGGGCUGUGUGACCUUGGGCAGGGGCUUUGCCUCUCUGGGCCUUAGAGCCCCCAUGAAAGGUGCUGAGCUCAGUGUGGGUGGAUGCGCCGAGGGCAUGCAGAGUCCUUCUGCCGCCUCUGUGGAUGAGAAAUAGGGCCUGUGGUCCACGGCUGCUGUGACAAUGAAGAGAGAACUGUGGAAACUGUGAAGUGCGAUGGACAAAGGGUUGUGUGUCUUAAAUGGUCAUUCGCAGAACUUAAGGCUUUUGAGGCGAGUCCCCAGGAAGACACAGCCACAGCCGCGUGGACCCCACACGUGGGGAAGGGCUGUUCCGGGGCGGCAGGUCCCACUGGGACCAGGCUGAAGCCUAGGGAGUCCUGGAAAGGCUUGGGCAUCCACGGGGCCCCGCUGCAGGUUAACUCCAGGAACCCCCAAGCCCCAGGUCCCUUCGCGGCCCCCCCCCCACCCAUCCUGUGGUCCAGGAGGAACCUGCCCAGAGCAGCGGGAGACGGGGCCCGGGAAGGAGGCCGGGGUCGGUGUUCCAACCGGGGGAAUCGGUUCCCUUCGCUGCAGGCAGCGGGGAGGGUGCGGGGAGCGGAGAGCGGGGGAGGCGGAGAGGGGGGCCGGGAAGAGGGCGAGGGGAGCGGGCGGCCGGGAAGGAGAGGCACACGCGGAGAGGGAUUGAACCUUGAGAGAAGCCGCCCAAGGAAAGGACUGAGGCUCUGACCCGCGGGAGAGGGGAGCGCGCUCCAAACUUAAGAGGGAGAAAAGUCUGCCAGCUGCCCUUGGGGCUGUCACAACAGAUAAAACCUCAUCCAGGCUUCACCGGGAGCGGCCCUGCGCGCUAAUGCACAGCNAAUAUGGGGUGGGGGGGGGGGGGGGGGGGGCGAGGGGGAG